AAGGACUAACAUCAACUAUGAAGUGAGCAAGAAUUGAUUCUUGAAAAUGCCGGCACAAUUCUUUGUGAAUAUGUCUACUCUGUGAUGACUCAGGACCCCACCUUUGAAACAUGACUGUCAUCUCUAAGACCUCUGUGAGACAAAGAUGGAAAAAGAUAUGAGCAGGAGAUUUCUAUGUCACGGAGGCCAAGGACCUACAUUUUUAUGAAGCAACAUGUUUUGAAGACGAUUGUUACUAGUGACCUCUUUGCCAACUCCUUGACAGCUAUCACUAUGCUAUUCAGAGUCAAGGCAAGAAGGAAGAGAGCACACAAUAUACAACUCUACUACCUGAAUUUAAAAGGAGGAAUCCUGCUUUCCUCUUGGGAGUAGAUUUCUGUUUUUCAACUCCAAAUGUUUGUCUCUAUUUCAGAAUUCUGCCAAUAUAGGUUGGAUAUCUGUAAUCUGGAAAUCUACCAUCCAAAUUUUUUCUCAAUUCUGAAUCUUUUUAAAUGCAGAAAGAAAAAAAAAAAGCUACACUUGUGAAAUCCCCCACCUGACAUCCUUGAAAGGUCCCCCUGUAAUACAAGUGGUGAAUUUACC
This 582-nucleotide long non-coding RNA is filed under the name Mus musculus (house mouse). RNAcentral describes it as "predicted gene, 48447". Lineage: Eukaryota; Metazoa; Chordata; Mammalia; Rodentia; Muridae. The record is from RNAcentral.